UACGUAGGGGGCAAGCGUUGUCCGGAAUCAUUGGGCGUAAAGCGCGUGUAGGCGGCUCGAUAAGUCCGUUCUGAAAGUCCAGGGCUCAACCCUGGGAUGCGGAUGGAUACUGUCGGGCUCGAGUCCGGAAGAGGCGAGUGGAAUUCCCGGUGUAGCGGUGAAAUGCGCAGAUAUCGGGAGGAACACCAAUGGCGAAGGCAGCUCGCUGGGACGUGACUGACGCUGAGACGCGAAAGCGUGGGGAGCAAACAGG
RNAcentral lists this ribosomal RNA (253 nucleotides) under uncultured bacterium. Its description in RNAcentral is "partial 16S ribosomal RNA". It matches the Rfam family "Bacterial small subunit ribosomal RNA", at positions 524 to 776 of the family's 1533-position model. The record is from RNAcentral. RNAcentral also lists the same sequence under 1 other name.